Molecule: ribosomal RNA, 443 nt
Filed under: uncultured bacterium
Lineage: Bacteria
Description: partial 16S ribosomal RNA
Rfam family: Bacterial small subunit ribosomal RNA
Source: RNAcentral
CCUACGGGAGGCUGCAGUGGGGAAUAUUGGGCAAUGGGCGCAAGCCUGACCCAGCAACGCCGCGUGAAGGAAGAAGGCUUUCGGGUUGUAAACUUCUUUUGUCAGGGACGAAGCAAGUGACGGUACCUGACGAUUAAGCCACGGCUAACUACGUGCCAGCAGCCGCGGUAAUACGUAGGUGGCAAGCGUUAUCCGGAUUUACUGGGUGGAAAGGGCGUGUAGGCGGGACUGCAAGUCAGAUGUGAAAACCACGGGCUCAACCUGUGGCCUGCAUUUGACACUGUAGUUCUUGAGUACUGGGGAGGCAGACGGAAUGCCUGGUGUAGCGGUGAAAUGCGUAGAGAUUAGGAGGAACACCAGUGGCGAAGGCGGUCUGCUGGACAGCAACUGACGCUGAGGCGCGAAAGCGUGGGGAGCAAACAGGAUUAGAUACCCGAGUAGUC